Cyprinus carpio carpio is the source of this 2056-nucleotide long non-coding RNA. NCBI's taxonomy places the organism in Eukaryota, Metazoa, Chordata, Actinopteri, Cypriniformes, Cyprinidae. The record is from Ensembl.
AUGGUGGCAUUUGCAUCAAUCAAGACCAUACAGUCAUCAAAAGCGAAUGACUUGGUUCCUCCUCUGGUGAAAUCAGCUGCUGAGUUCAUUGGUGGAGCAAAAAUAUGGCAGGACUUUUACUCUUUGGCCCCUGGACUUCCCACCUCUGCCAUUGAGAGACUCUCUGAACCAAAACAUAGCUGGACUGGACUGGUUUAUUUGUCUGUGUCAUGUACAUGAACCCAUGUUUCCUUUGGGUUUAGUCCAGCAGAAAGUCUAAGCUGUGGCCUCUGGGCCAGUGUUUCGUUGUGCGCUACACACAUCUAAGUUUACAGUGUUGAUUUGUUCCAAAGCUGGACAGUAGACGAGGUUGUGAUGUGUGGAGAUACAGUGAUAUGGUUUCUUUUCAGCAGUCUGACUAACUUUGGAUACUUCAGGAAAGUCUUUCUGUGAAAGCAUCCUGUAGGUUUUCUAAUAAUACGGUCUGAUAGAAACGUUUAGUCAUGUCAGGAAAAGUCAUUCACAAUAUGGUGGUGGCUCAAAGUGAUCCCUGCUUGGACCAUCCCUCAUCUAAGUACGUGAAUCAGAGGGAAAGAGGGAAUUUUACUGAUGUUGGUUAAUUCCAUGGACAAAAAUGACAUGAGGAUAUUUUUUUCUGUUUUUAUUAAUUGUUAUGAAUUGUUUCGACUUGUCUCUGUGAAAUUUAAUUUGUGUUGCUUCACAUUGUUAAUAUUAAGCGGUACAUGGGACACUCCUUCCAUAACACUGAACUUUUUUCUUCUAAAUCUUUUGCAUAAGGGCAGUAGCUGAACUUGGGGUUGUGUGAUACUGUGUUAAGUUACCAAAUAUUGUUUUUUUUUUUUAUAAAGGAUAUUAAACAGAUUGCUUAACAGAAAACAAGAAUGAAUGUUACAUUUACAAUUGCACUAAAUGAAACACUUUUAACUGAAAAACCAUUACAUUCUUUAUCUUAUUUCAAGUACACAGUGUUCUAAAACAAUAAUAGCAGUCCCUUCACCAAAACAUUAAAUAUUGAUAAUUUUAUAGAUCUACAUCAGAGUAAUUACUUUAGUAGUAAAAAUGUAUAGCUGAGACUCAUUUAAUGUAUAAAUAAUAAUAGAAUCACUUUUAUGGCGUUGUCACUUUACUCAUUUUCUCCUCGGUGUUAUCUUUAUCUUCCCAAAACCAUAGUUGCUAACCUGUUAAGAAGUCAUCUAAUUGCUUUUAAAUAAAGUCUACCAAAUUCAUAUAUAUUAUUUAUAUAUAUAUAUAUAUAUAUAUAUAUAUAUAUAUAUAUAUAUAUAUAUAUAUAUAUAUAUAUUAUGAUAAACCUGAAUUACAAGGAAACAUUCACAGAUUAUUUACUGAUUAACAUCAAUAACACAAUUACAAAUCAUUCACCAUCUUCACACUAAAUAUUCUUGCACAAUAAUAGAAGCAACUAAAGGAAACAUAGAUCAUGUGAGGGGUCUGAAGUACAAUAAAUCACACAUGGGUCUAAAAUAUCCAACAAGGAAAAAGAAACCAACAGUUAAAGAAAGUUAAUAUUUACAUCAAAAAUGAAUGAUGGCUAUAAAAUAAGACUUGUAAAAUUGCUCAUUUACAAAUAAAAGCAGAGACUGUCAUGUAACAUGUAAAGGCAUUGAUUCUGUCGUAGUGGUAUUUUACUGUAUGACAAUGGACCUUCGCUCAUUUCCUGAACCUGAUGCUGUAGUCCUCAGUGUUGUUUGCGUCCACUGCAAAGACGUGACGUGACGUGACGUGACAUUCAGCCAGAGUAUGGUGACCCAUACUCAGAAUUAGUGCUCUGCAUUUAACCCAUCCGAAGUGCACACACACAGAGCAGUGAACACACACACACACUGUAGAACACACACCCGGGAGCAGUGGGCAGCCAUUUUAUGCUGCGGCGCCCGGGGAGCAGUUGGGGGUUCGUGCCUUGCUCAAGGGCACCUAAGUCGUGGUAUUGAAGGUGGAGAGAGAACUGUACAUGCACUCACCACCCACACUUCAGCUGCCGGCCCGAGACUCGAACUCACAACCCUUCGAGUGGGAGUCCGACUCUCUAACCAUUGGA